Molecule: ribosomal RNA, 1259 nt
Filed under: Bizionia paragorgiae
Lineage: Bacteria; Pseudomonadati; Bacteroidota; Flavobacteriia; Flavobacteriales; Flavobacteriaceae
Description: bacterial SSU rRNA
Rfam family: Bacterial small subunit ribosomal RNA
Source: RNAcentral
GCCACGGGUGAGGUAAACGCGUAUACCAAAUCUGCCUUGGUACUGGAGGGAUAGCCCCAGGAGAAAUUUGGAUUAAUACCCUCUAUAGUAUAUGGGAUUCUCUCAUGAGGAUCAUAUUUAAAGGUUACGGUACAAGAUGAGUAUGCGUUCUAUUAGCUAGAUGGUAAGGUAACGGCUUUACCAUGGNUACGAUAGAUAGGGGCCCUGAGAGGGGGAUCCCCCCACACUGGUACUGAGACACGGACCAGACUCCUACGGGAGGCAGCAGUGAGGAAUAUUGGACAAUGGGCGAGAGCCUGAUCCAGCCAUGCCGCGUGCAGGAUGACGGCCCUAUGGGUUGUAAACUGCUUUUAUACAGGAAGAAACACCCCGACGUGUCGGGACUUGACGGUACUGUAAGAAUAAGGAUCGGCUAACUCCGUGCCAGCAGCCGCGGUAAUACGGAGGAUCCAAGCGUUAUCCGGAAUCAUUGGGUUUAAAGGGUCCGUAGGUGGACAAUUAAGUCAGAGGUGAAAUCCUGCAGCUCAACUGUAGAAUUGCCUUUGAUACUGGUUGUCUUGAGUUAUUAUGAAGUAGUUAGAAUAUGUAGUGUAGCGGUGAAAUGCAUAGAUAUUACAUAGAAUACCAAUUGCGAAGGCAGAUUACUAAUAAUGAACUGACACUGAUGGACGAAAGCGUGGGGAGCGAACAGGAUUAGAUACCCUGGUAGUCCACGCCGUAAACGAUGGUUACUAGUUGUUCGGAUUUCGGUCUGAGUGACUAAGCGAAAGUGAUAAGUAACCCACCUGGGGAGUACGUUCGCAAGAAUGAAACUCAAAGGAAUUGACGGGGGCCCGCACAAGCGGUGGAGCAUGUGGUUUAAUUCGAUGAUACGCGAGGAACCUUACCAGGGCUUAAAUGUAGAUUGACAGGUUUAGAGAUAGACUUUUCUUCGGACAAUUUACAAGGUGCUGCAUGGUUGUCGUCAGCUCGUGCCGUGAGGUGUCAGGUUAAGUCCUAUAACGAGCGCAACCCCUGUUGUUAGUUGCCAGCGAUUCAAGUCGGGAACUCUAACAAGACUGCCAGUGCAAACUGUGAGGAAGGUGGGGAUGACGUCAAAUCAUCACGGCCCUUACGUCCUGGGCUACACACGUGCUACAAUGGUAGGGACAGAGAGCANCCACUUCGCGAGAAAGGAGCGAAUCUAUAAACCCUAUCACAAGUUCGGAUCGGAGUCUGGCAACUCGACUCCCGNGAAGCUGGAAUCGCUAGUAAUCGCA